This 20-nucleotide unclassified non-coding RNA is filed under the name Arabidopsis thaliana (thale cress). The record is from RNAcentral. Lineage: Eukaryota; Viridiplantae; Streptophyta; Magnoliopsida; Brassicales; Brassicaceae.
UCCAAACUUAGCAAAAGAUG